CCUUUAUAAGGCUCCUGAUGCUGGCCUGCCUCAGUUUGCAAGAGGAUAGGAGACAGAGCGUGGCCCGCCGUGGGUCCAGUGUUCUGGGCUCUCCGUCGCACACAGUGAGCCCCCUUCAGGGCGGACCACCACAACCUGGGACCCGUCGACACGGUGAACACCCUGAGGAAGGGUCACUCCGAGCAGAGUGGCCGGCUGUGAUCUGUGGCUGUCUGCCCCCUCCCCACUCGCCACUACUGAGGAGAAGGCAGCACCAACUCUGGAAUAGUCUGAAGCUGUGAGGCCGUCCAGGGCAGAGCUGCUGUGACGUUAUGCCUGGGUGACACUGGGAGCCCCGAGGGCAGGGCCGCCGUAGCAUUGGACCCGUCGGAUACACUUAGUUUUUCCAACCCCGCCACCCAGGUCAGGGCCCCAAAAAUGUUCUGCCCAUGUGAUACUGUGAGCCCAUCCAGAGCAGAGCAGAGCCGCUGUGACGUUGUAACCGGGUGAUACUGUGAGCCCUCAAGGGCAGGGCCGCUGCAACGUUGGACCCGUCGGAUACUGUGAGUCCCCCCUCCCCGCCACCCCCGAGGGCAGGUCCCCAAAAAUGUUCCGCCCGUGUGACACUGAGCUUAUCCAAAGCAGAGCCGCCAUGACGUUAUGCCCAUGUGACACUGUGAGCCCUCAAGGGCAGGGUCGCUGCAAUGCUGGACCCGUCGGAUACUGUGAGUUCCCCCCACUUAGGGCAGGGCCCCAUAGAUAUUCUGCCCAUGUGACACUGUGAGCCCUCGAGGGCAGGGCCACUGCAACGUUGGACCCUUUGGAUACUGUGAGUCUCUCCCCCUCUUAGGGCAGACCAAAAAAUGUUCUAUCCAUGUGACACUGUGAGCCCAUCUAGAGCAGAGCCGCCGUGACGUCGUAUCUGUGUGACACUGAGCUCUCAAGGGCAGGGCCAUAUCAAUGUUGUGCCGGUGUAACACUGUAAGCCUUUAGGAUCUGGAUGCUUGGAAGAAGAUUAAAAAUAUGGGUCGUGGCAAAAGGGGA
Ornithorhynchus anatinus (platypus) is the source of this 1023-nucleotide long non-coding RNA. RefSeq lists it as uncharacterized. The transcript is spliced from 2 exons. Lineage: Eukaryota; Metazoa; Chordata; Mammalia; Monotremata; Ornithorhynchidae. The record is from RefSeq and is a predicted model, not a curated record.